Molecule: RNA transcript, 769 nt
Organism: Esox lucius (northern pike)
Lineage: Eukaryota; Metazoa; Chordata; Actinopteri; Esociformes; Esocidae
Gene name: sine oculis-binding protein homolog
Exons: 3
Source: RefSeq, a predicted model, not a curated record
UGCGGUCCAGGCCGGAGGUGAGGUUAGCCCCUGGAGCACAGAGACACACGAGGAACUGUGUGAGCAUGAGCGGCACUGUGCUGAGGAAAAGCUGCAUCCUUAAUGGGUCAAAGAGAGACAGAGUCGCCUGGCCAGCCCCAGCAGAAGGUUUAUAUGAGUGUGAGUGUGUUUGGAAGUGUGUCUGGGUGUUUAUCCGUGCGUGUGCCAGCGACUGGGCCGUGGCAUGGUGCUUCUGAGGGGAGGACAUGUCACCGGGCAUGUCUGUGGUGGGAAAGACAAGCCAAUUAAAGAGACUUUCCAGAUGAUUCGCAUACUUUCUAGUGCAGUGUGUGUGCUUGCUGUCCCUGAAAUGGCGAGGGGCUGAAGCACAUUGGCUGGAAUUUGAAUUGCUUUGACUGGCCCACAAAGGAAAAGACUUGGGGAAAUGGAAAUCCACAGAUUCCAAAACAGGUUUGCAAGGUUUUUGAGUCCAAUUAAGGCUUUCAGUUACCUGCAACUACUCACACCUGCCUCUCAUCAGACCGUCAGCCUUGCAGUAUUUCUUCCCCGGUUCUUCAGCCACUCAUCGCCAGAUUGUUCUGUCAGCUCCUGUGGACCAUGCCCAUCUACCUACCUGCUCACUCUCUGCCAGCCACGCCAACAUCCGCCAACCUUGCCAGUCUCCCUCUGUAAGCCCUGGUCCCUCUCUCCAUCUCCGCCCCCAUCAUCGCCACUUCCACCUACUCCAUUCCCAGCUCCCCUUUACAAUAAAUACUCUAAUUGAACCUUC